RNAcentral lists this ribosomal RNA (469 nucleotides) under uncultured bacterium. RNAcentral's name for it is "bacterial SSU rRNA". It matches the Rfam family "Bacterial small subunit ribosomal RNA", at positions 28 to 514 of the family's 1533-position model. The record is from RNAcentral.
GACGAACGCUGGCGGCGUGCUUAACACAUGCAAGUCGAACGGUGAAGGGGAGCUUGCUCCCCGGAUCAGUGGCGAACGGGUGAGUAACACGUGGGCAACCUGCCCCAGACUUCGGGAUAACGCUUCGAAAGAGGUGCUAAUACCGGAUACGAACUCCUUGGGCAUCCCGGGAGUUGGAAAGUUUUUUCGGUCUGGGAUGGGCCCGCGGCCUAUCAGCUUGUUGGUGAGGUAACGGCUCACCAAGGCGACGACGGGUAGUCGGCCUGAGAGGGCGACCGGCCACACUGGGACUGAGACACGGCCCAGACUCCUACGGGAGGCAGCAGUGGGAAUAUUGCGCAAUGGGCGAAAGCCUGACGCAGCAACGCCGCGUGAGGGAUGACGGCCUUGGUGUAAACCUCUUUCAGCAGGAAGAAGCGAAAGUGACGGUACCUGCAGAAGAAGCGACCGGCUAACUACGUGCCAGCAG